RNAcentral lists this ribosomal RNA (253 nucleotides) under uncultured bacterium. Its description in RNAcentral is "partial 16S ribosomal RNA". It matches the Rfam family "Bacterial small subunit ribosomal RNA", at positions 524 to 776 of the family's 1533-position model. The record is from RNAcentral.
UACGAAGGGGGCUAGCGUUGCUCGGAAUCACUGGGCGUAAAGCGCACGUAGGCGGAUCUUUAAGUCAGACGUGAAAUCCCUCGGCUUAACUGGGGAACUGCGUCUGAGACUGGUGGGCUUGAGUGCAGGAGAGGAACGCGGAAUUCCAGGUGUAGCGGUGAAAUGCGUAGAUAUCUGGAGGAACACCGGUGGCGAAGGCGGCGUUCUGGACUGCAACUGACACUGAGGAACGAAAGCCAGGGGAGCAAACGGG